This 76-nucleotide transfer RNA is filed under the name Nitrospirota bacterium. RNAcentral describes it as "tRNA-Lys". It matches the Rfam family "tRNA". From Rfam's summary of the family: Transfer RNA (tRNA) molecules are approximately 80 nucleotides in length. Lineage: Bacteria; Pseudomonadati; Nitrospirota. The record is from RNAcentral.
GGGCCGUUAGCUCAGUUGGUAGAGCAGAUGACUCUUAAUCAUCGGGUCGUAGGUUCGAUCCCUACACGGCCCACCA